Molecule: ribosomal RNA, 1653 nt
Filed under: Triticum aestivum (bread wheat)
Lineage: Eukaryota; Viridiplantae; Streptophyta; Magnoliopsida; Poales; Poaceae
Description: partial small subunit ribosomal RNA
Source: RNAcentral
AUGUCCAAGAGCCGCAAGAUCAGCCGCAUGCUUGCCGAGCAGGACGAGCAGCGUCCAGCGAGCCAGCGGCGGCGUCGGCGUGGGAGUUCUGAAGGCAAUGUCGAAGAGCAUGCUGCGGCGGAAACAGAGAUUGAGGAAGCAGAGGAGGAGGACGGGGACGAGGAGCAGCAGCAUCUCACGCCCUGGAACGUCGCCCCGCUGCGGUGCGCGGCCGAGUACCUGGAGAUGACGGAGGAGCACUCCGAGGACAACCUGGCCGCGCGCACCGAGGCCUACCUCUCGCAGUCCGUGCUCCGCCACCCCGGCGAGGCCACCAAGGCGCUCAAGUCCUGCGAGGAGCUGCUGCCGCACGCCGAGGAGCUCGGCAUUGCCGCCCGCUGCGUGGACGCCAUCGCCGCGCGCUCGUCGGCGACGUCGCGCUCCUGGUUCGGCGACCUGGCCGUGCUCGGCCUGCACAUGUACAAGCGGGUGAUGGCGGCCAUGGCCGCGCGCAAGGACGUGAGGACGGAGGCUUUGGAGGGCUGCCUCGUGUCCUACGCCAAGGCCACCCUCCCGGGGCUGUCGAGGUCCAUGAGGUGGCGCCGCGCGUCCGCGCCGGUCUCGUCGGAGGUGGAGCAGAGAGACCUCCUGGAGGUGGUGGUCGCGAGCCUCCCCGCGGACAAGGGCUCGGGGAGCGUCGUGACCGCGAAGUUCCUGUUCGCGCUGCUGCGGACGGCGCACAUCCUGCGCGCUUCGGACGCGGCGCGCGCGGCGAUCGAGCGGAAGGCCGCGACGCAGCUGGAACAGGCAACGGUGGAGGACGUGCUCAUCCCGAGCUACUCCGGCGCCGCGGAGACGCUCUACGACGUGGACUACGUCGAGCGGGUGGCCAGGCACUUCCUGCCUGCAAUCACCGAGGAGGAAGCGGCGGCGAGGACGACGGCGUCGCGUCCGUCGGCCGUGGCAAUGGUGCAGGUGGGCAAGCUGGUGGACAACUACCUGGCAGAGGUAGCGUCCGACGCCAACCUGAAGCCAACCAAAUUUUGCGAGCUCACGCUGGCAAUGCCGGACCACGCCCGCAUCUACGACGAUGGCGUCUACCGCGCCGUCGACAUCUACCUCAAGGCGCAUCCGCGGCUGACGGCGGAGGAGCGGGACAGGGUGUGCGGCGUGGUGGACUGCAGGAAGCUGACGGUGGAGGCGUGCACGCACGCGGCGCAGAACGAGCGGCUCCUGCUGCGCGCGGUGCUGCAGGUGCUCUUCUCCGAGCAGCUGCAGCUCCGGCGCGCCAUCAAGGGCACGCUGCUGGCGUCCACGGCUUCCCCGCGAGCGCGGCAUCCGAAUCCUCAUCCGCAGCGGCCGGCGGCGGCGGUGCGUCACGCCGCUGGCCCGAGCGAGGCGUGGCGGACGACGAUGGUGCAGGAGAGCCAAACGCUGCGGGUGGACAUGGACGGCAUGAGGAGCCGGGUGCAGGGCCUGGAGAGGGAGUGCUCCAGCAUGCGAAGGGCGAUCAAGAAGAUCGACGGCGGCGGCGUGGCGUCCAAGGCAGCGGCAGCCCGGACGCGGCCGCCCCGGCGGGCUGGCGGUCGAGGUACCGGUGCAAGUUCAGCACGCAGGUGUGCGACUCGCAGGCGCGCGACGCGGUCGUGUCCAGGGCGUCCAGGAUGGGGAUGA